UAGAAAGUACGUCGACAGAAAUGUGAAAUUUUAACUACUUUUCUUUUUGAAGAUGUCUCAUUAAAUGGGAGUAAGGUUCAAGUUAGAGCUUUAAUGGCCCAGAAAGAGUUCUCUUAUACCCGGUUGAUGUUUUGGUUUCAAGUUUGGAUCCACCUAAUGAAAGGUUUACUUGGUUUGAAUGUCAUUAAGUUAGAAUUGGAGACUAAGAUUUGGGCUAAUAUGUAGACUUACGAUAUCUCUCCAUCUCCUCCUGAAUGACUUCUACUAAGUGUAUGAAAUUUAUUUUCCGAUGUGUAUUUGCAGGGCAAUGAUAUUCAUGCAUUUGGUAAUUAGUGAUGUUGAUAGGAAGGAAGAGGUAAAUUGUGAAUGUUUAGCAUUCUCAGGUGGCUGGUGCUCUCAAGUGGAGCUUCCUGGUGAUGUUGUUAUUGCAGCUUGUGGUUGGAUCGGGUCUUGGCCUUGAAAGGAAUCAAGCAUGCAGUGCUGGUCUGUCUCUUUUUGGAGAUCGAUGGAAAGGU
Long non-coding RNA from Hibiscus syriacus, 515 nucleotides. RefSeq lists it as uncharacterized. Lineage: Eukaryota; Viridiplantae; Streptophyta; Magnoliopsida; Malvales; Malvaceae. The transcript is spliced from 3 exons. The record is from RefSeq and is a predicted model, not a curated record.